This 460-nucleotide ribosomal RNA is filed under the name uncultured bacterium. Its description in RNAcentral is "partial 16S ribosomal RNA". It matches the Rfam family "Bacterial small subunit ribosomal RNA", at positions 338 to 795 of the family's 1533-position model. The record is from RNAcentral.
CCUACGGGAGACAGCAGUGAGGAAUAUUGGUCAAUGGGCUUACGCCUGAACCAGCCAAGUCGCGUGAGGGAAGACUGCCCUAUGGGUUGUAAACCUCUUUUGUCAGGGAGCAAUUGGCGCUACGUGUAGCGUUAUCGAGAGUACCUGAAGAAAAAGCAUCGGCUAACUCCGUGCCAGCAGCCGCGGUAAUACGGAGGAUGCGAGCGUUAUCCGGAUUUAUUGGGUUUAAAGGGUGCGUAGGCGGAAUGCCAAGUCAGCGGUAAAAUCGCGGGGCUCAACCUCGCUCCGCCGUUGAAACUGGCGGUCUUGAGUGGGCGAGAAGUAUGCGGAAUGCGUGGUGUAGCGGUGAAAUGCAUAGAUAUCACGCAGAACUCCGAUUGCGAAGGCAGCAUACCGGCGCCCAACUGACGCUGAAGCACGAAAGCGUGGGUAUCGAACAGGAUUAGAUACCCCUGUAGUC